Molecule: unclassified non-coding RNA, 47 nt
Filed under: Herpetomonas samuelpessoai
Lineage: Eukaryota; Euglenozoa; Kinetoplastea; Trypanosomatida; Trypanosomatidae
Source: RNAcentral
AAGCUUCCAGUUUAUCUGGAAAAUUUUGGAAUAAGCCUUCGGGCUUC